AAUCUUCGACAAUGGGCGAAAGCCUGAUGGAGCAACGCCGCGAGAGUGAAGUAGGAUGUAGGUACGUCCAACUCUGUUGUAAGGGAAGAACAAGUACAGUAGUAACUGGCUGUACCUUGACGGUACCGUAUUAGAAAGCCACUGCUAACUACGUGACAGCAGCCGCGGUAAUACGUAGGUGGCAAGCGUUGUCCGGAAUUAUUGGGCGUAAAGCGCGCGCAGGUGGUUUCUUAAGUCUGAUGUGAAAGCCCACGGCUCAACCGUGGAGGGUCAUUGGAAACUGGGAGACUUGAGUGCAGAAGAGGAUAGUGGAAUUCCAAGUGUAGCGGUGAAAUGCGUAGAGAUUUGGAGGAACACCAGUGGCGAAGGCGACUAUCUGGUCUGUAACUGACACUGAGGCGCGAAAGCGUGGGGAGCAAACAGG
This 424-nucleotide ribosomal RNA is filed under the name uncultured bacterium. RNAcentral's name for it is "partial 16S ribosomal RNA". It matches the Rfam family "Bacterial small subunit ribosomal RNA", at positions 360 to 776 of the family's 1533-position model. The record is from RNAcentral.